This 497-nucleotide ribosomal RNA is filed under the name uncultured bacterium. Its description in RNAcentral is "partial 16S ribosomal RNA". It matches the Rfam family "Bacterial small subunit ribosomal RNA", at positions 28 to 507 of the family's 1533-position model. The record is from RNAcentral.
GACGAACGCUGGCGGCGUGCCUAAUACAUGCAAGUUGAGCGCUGAAGGUUGGUACUUGUACCGACUGGAUGAGCAGCGAACGGGUGAGUAACGCGUGGGGAAUCUGCCUUUGAGCGGGGGACAACAUUUGGAAACGAAUGCUAAUACCGCAUAAAAACUUUAAACACAAGUUCUAAGUUUGAAAGAUGCAAUUGCAUCACUCAAAGAUGAUCCCGCGUUGUAUUAGCUAGUUGGUGAGGUAAAGGCUCACCAAGGCGAUGAUACAUAGCCGACCUGAGAGGGUGAUCGGCCACAUUGGGACUGGGACACGGCCCAAACUCCUACGGGAGGCAGCAGUAGGGAAUCUUCGGCAAUGGACGAAAGUCUGACCGAGCAACGCCGCGUGAGUGAAGAAGGUUGUCGGAUCGUAAAACUCUGUUGGUAGAGAAGAACGUUGGUGAGAGUGGAAAGCUCAUCAAGUGACGGUAACUACCCAGAAAGGGACGGCUAACUACGUG